Molecule: long non-coding RNA, 1481 nt
Filed under: Homo sapiens (human)
Lineage: Eukaryota; Metazoa; Chordata; Mammalia; Primates; Hominidae
Description: HSALNT0063544
Source: RNAcentral
UUGCCUUUUCUUAGUUGUUUCUGUCUGUCUUGUAGCUCUUUAGUCCUUUUCUUUUCUUGCUCUCUUCCUUUGUAAUUUUGUUGACUGUUUGCAGCUGUUGGAGGCCGCACAAAUGUUUCUUAUAAUGAGGCAUAAUUGAAGCCUGUCAGUAACAAUAUGAACCUGUGGUCAAUUAAGCAGCUGACCAAUCGUUACCUCCUCCUUCUUGCUCUUGUUACCCAAUAAAUAAGAAGGGUUGUGGAAGCUCAGGGGCUGCCUUUCCUCACUAGAAGCAGGGAGCUCUCUUCUUCCCCAUGCUAGCCUUUCCUUAAAAUAGUUACUUUUGUUUUCUGUUAUGAUUUCUAUGUUCGUCCGUUCAUUCAGUCUUGUAAUGACAGUCUCAAGCAGUAACAGCAGUAACUGCUGUAAUGACGGUCUCAAGUAGUAGUAGUGGCAGUCGGCCACAUUUUAUAAUUUCUAUCUCUUUGCUGAUAUUCUCAUUUUGAUUAUGUAUCAUUUUCCUGAGCUCACUGAGCACCUUAAUGUCUGUCAUUUUAAAUUUUUUCACAGAUAAUCUAUAUACUUUCACUUCUUUAUGACCAGUUUCUAGAGUUUUAGUUUGGAAUGGACCACGUUUUAUUGUUUUACCAUGCGUCUUGUAACUUUUUGUUGAAAUUCAUUCAUUUGAAAAACAACCACUUCUCCCCAUCUUUGAAGAUAGACAUCAUACAGGGAGAAGACAGAAACUGGAAGUUCCUUCUCAAUUGGACUUUACUGAGCUAGCAGGAAACAAUAUGAUUGAAAAUGAAAAUAUCUUUUGCUUCACUUCUUAUACGUAAAACUGUUAUCCAAAUCAGAAGUCUCCUCACUCUUAUCUUGAGCCAUACCUAGACCAAAAGGGUGACAUUAAGAAGAAGAGAGCACUGAACUUGGCAGGAAAAUCAGUAGGAGUAAGUGGCGGAGGCAUGGGACUGGCAGAGAUACGGCAGCCCCUGUGGAGAGGCUGUCUACAGAUAACAUAACAAUAACAACAGGAUCUGCGGGGUUCCUGCAUGCGUGUUGGCUUCACUGGAGAAACUAAUCAAGUGGUGCAGUUUGGACACAGAGACUGACACACAGGAAGAAUACCAUGUGAAGACUGGAGUUUUGCAUAGAGAAGCCAAGGAGCUACCAGAAGCUAGGAGAAUGGCCUGGAACAGACCUUUCCUUAGUGCCUUCAGAGAGAGCAUGGCGCUGCCAACAUCUUGAUCUCAGACUUCCAGCAUCCUGAAUUGUGAGAUAAAUUUCUGCUGUUUAAACCAUAUAAUUUGUGAUACUUUGCUAUGGCAACUGUCACAGCUAUUAUAAGCACCUAACCCUUUUUUUAAUCUUUUAAGAAACUUUUUGCUUUCAUCUACUUUUUUUGUUCUGGUUAUUCCAUAUUUUACUUUAAGAUUUAGUCUUCUGUCAAUAAAGCAAUAAUUUCAGAUCAAUUUCAAUAAAAAAUUAAUAAUGUCCAAACA